GCUGGAGGGAAUGUCAACCCUGCAGUGGGAGCCCAUCACGCAUCCUAGGCACAGAUGCUAAUGUAGGCACCGCGGAAGCACUGCUGACUGUUUGGUGGUUGCUGUUGGGGCAGUGAGCCUUUUGUCCAUUCUGAGAUUGGGCUGGUUUCUCCUCUUGGCCCUGCCCUACAGACCAUAAAGGAAAACAGCAAGAGGUCCGCAGCAAACAUCUACAGAUGGCCCUGGACAUCAGCCACAUUCUGAGAAACAUGUCAUGUUCUGGGAGGGCUAAGGCAUCAAGCUCACCCUGCAGGAAUCCCAGUGAAUAUAUUGCCACCAUCUUGGAGCUCAGUGCCCUCUUAGUGUAAUGGCACCAGCAGAUCUGCCUGUGCACGGACUUCCUGUACUACCUCACUCCUGAGGGGAGAUGCUUCUGCAGGGCCUAUGACCUGGUGCACAACUUUAGACACCAUCAUCCUGGAGCAGCACCUCACCCUCACUUGCCGGGGUGUUGAUGACUUCCUCAAGGCUAAGGCCACAUUCAAGAUUUUGGACUUCAGUGAUGCAUUUUUGCUGAGCAAGGGCCUCAGUGCAAGGGCGCUGUCCAACCUCUGGUGCUGAAGCAGCCGAGAGACCCAAGCCUGCCACUCAGGAUAUGACAGCACAGCCAGUGGCCUCUACUGGAUCCUGUACAACCUCAGAAGACACCUAGACACUGGGAGUGCUGCCACCACGUGGUGCAAGAGUUCUGAGGGACCGCAAUUCUGAAGACAUUGAAUGGUGGGUGCCAGGCCUCGUGGCUGUUCCCCAGCCCCUCUCAUAGGCUCUGCUCCAGCUGGUGAAGGGGGAUGACGUCUCUGUCAAUUCUGCCAUGAUUGCCUAGCAGGAAAAGGAGCAGAGCCCAGAAGCAGGGCCUGGUACCCAGCCUGCCUAACAAGGGAGAAUUUGUAGGCUUUGUGGACAGAAAGAUCUGGGAGUCCAUAUCACCCACUAACUUGCUGAGACAUUAGUAAAAUCAGUUUUCUUUUC
This 1008-nucleotide long non-coding RNA is filed under the name Homo sapiens (human). Its description in RNAcentral is "family with sequence similarity 95 member A". Lineage: Eukaryota; Metazoa; Chordata; Mammalia; Primates; Hominidae. The record is from RNAcentral.